UACGAAGGGUGCAAGCGUUACUCGGAAUUACUGGGCGUAAAGCGUGCGUAGGUGGUUCGUUAAGUCUGAUGUGAAAACCCUGGGCUCAACCUGGGAAUGGCAUUGGAAACUGGCGACCUAGAGUGCGGUAGAGGGCAGUGGAAUUCCCGGUGUAGCAGUGAAAUGCGUAGAGAUCGGGAGGAACAUCUGUGGCGAAGGCGACUGCCUGGACCAGCACUGACACUGAGGCACGAAAGCGUGGGGAGCAAACAGG
This 253-nucleotide ribosomal RNA is filed under the name uncultured bacterium. RNAcentral describes it as "partial 16S ribosomal RNA". It matches the Rfam family "Bacterial small subunit ribosomal RNA", at positions 524 to 776 of the family's 1533-position model. The record is from RNAcentral.